This 2045-nucleotide long non-coding RNA is filed under the name Physcomitrium patens. RNAcentral's name for it is "long non-coding RNA (PPAT_LNC008607)". Lineage: Eukaryota; Viridiplantae; Streptophyta; Bryopsida; Funariales; Funariaceae. The record is from RNAcentral.
AUUGAAUAAGGUUUCUAUAGGUGUUGAUUUUGGGUGAUUUGGAUUUGUUAUGACUUUGUAAGAGCUUUGCAAAGUCAAGGUUUAUUUUGGAUGACUUGGAGUUUAUGAAAUAAAAUAGGGUUUACGUUUUGGACGAUUUUGAGAGUUUUGUAGUAGAUCUAUGGAUGGAAUUUUGUAGGUAUAUGGUUAUAGUUGUUUUCAAUAUUUUUUGUGAAUUUGAGCUCAAUCUAACGGUUGAAUUAAAGAAUAUUGAUGUUUAAGUAGGUCAAGGUCUCAAAAAGUAGAAUUUUAGGUGUAGUGAGGAUUUUUAAGAUUUCUUGCAAUCUACUACUUGGAUUGAAGUGAAACUUGCAUAAGAGGAUAUUAGACUUAUUUUCCCCUAGGCAUGAGAAUUUUGAGAUCAAUCGAACAGUGUAAAAGAGAGAUAUCGGCUCUGGAAGAUUGACAUCAAGAUUAUAGAAGGAGGCCGGCCAAUACCCGAGCACAUUUGUGAAGUUAUCAUCAAUUUGAUAAGUCCGAUCCUUUUCAAUUUUUUUGUGCUUGUUUUUAACUUAAUUUGUAAGAUUUUUGAAAAAUUUGAGUUAAGAUCGACGGUUUAUUCAUUAGUUAUUGAGGUUUGAAUUUGUUGUAGGAAUUACUAGGAUUUUGUUUAGGAUAUGGUUAGAAUUUGGUUUAGGGUUUAGGAUUUGGAUUAGGGUUUGAUUUAGGAUUUAGGGUUUGGUUAGGAUUUGAUUUAGGGUUUAGGAUUUGGUUAGGAUUUGGUUUAGGAUUUAGGAUUUGUAUUAGGAUUUGGUUAGGGUUUGGUUAGGAUUUGGUUUAGGAUUUAGUUUGGAUUUGGUUUAAGAAUUGUUUAGGGUUUGAUUUAGGGUUUGGUUUAGGAUUUGGUUUAGGGUUUGGUUAGGGUUUUAUUUAGGGUUUGGAUUAGGAUUUGGUUUAGAAUUUAGAAUUUGGAUUAGGAUUUGGUUAGGAUUUGAUUUAGGAUUUAGGAUUUAGGAUUUGGUUUAGGAUUUGGUUAGGGUUUGGUUUAGGAUUUGGUUGAGAUUAGUUUAAGGUUUGUUUAGGGUUUGAUUUAGGGUUUAGGAUUUUAUUAGGAUUUAAGAUUUAGUUAGGUUUGGCUAAAGUUUGAAUGAAGUUCAAUAAGAUUUUAACUAGAAUUAAAUUAAGAUUGAAUUGAGAUGUAUUUGAGUGAUAUUUGUGAUCCUUCUAAUAUUUCUUUAAGAAUUCUUAUUGUUUGUUUGAAAUUUCUUGAGGUUUUUUUGAAUUUGAUUGAAGCUUGCUUAACAUUAUUAUGAUCUAAUUAGAGUUUAAUUAGUAUUCUAUUAGAAUCACGAUUUUGUUGUUGCAAUUUCCAUUCUUCCUUCUACAACCAAGUGCCCAGAGCAUUCUGAAGCAAGACUUCACGUAAUACGACAAUGCAUUUCUAGUUUCCAUCAGAGCUCUACUCCAUAUCAUUCUAGAAACGUGUUACCUAAGACUACAUCUAUUCCAUUAAGGUGGUAGAUUGUGAAGUCCUCUUAAAACCUCUCAUUUCUCACUUGAAACUUCACGCCUUUUACAACUGAGCGAGAUAACUCUCCACCCUUAACAAAGAAUGUCUCUAUCUCCUUGGUCGAUUCUUGAAUCAACGCUAACCUCUCAGCGCAUCUUGGGCUCAUAAACGAAUUGGUUGCGCUUGUGUCAAUCAACAUGGCCCAUUCAAUAUUCUCCACUCUAGAGUCUAAAUAAACAAGUUUCUUAUAUGGAUUGGUGAGGACUAAUUCUACAUCUAAAUUCUCUUUCUUCACCAAUACUCGGGUACUCGGUUUUGAGUUGUCAAAAUUUUGAUCCAUCUCAACCUUAUGUCAAGGAACAUUAAGAUAGUGGUUAUCUUUUUCGCCACUUCUUCAUUCUUACAAUCGCCACUUCUUCAUUCUUACAAUCGUUGGCAUAGUGGCCACUUCUUCAUUCUUACAAUCGCCACUUCUUCAUUCUUGCAAUCGUUGGCAUAGUGGCCACUUCUUCAUUCUUACAAUCGCCACUUCUUCAUUCUUACAAUCGUUGGCAUA